UGAUAAUCUCCGCUCUAAAUUUCGAUUCUCUGAAACCGAAACUACAGCCCCAGUGAUGUCAGUAACCGUAUCACGUCUGACAAAGACGAUACUACUGUGUCGAUCUUUGAUUUUUGAGGUUAUGCGGUAGCGGCGGGCUUACGGACCAGAAUUUAGAAAAAAACUUCAACCGACUACGUAGGCUACCGAAUCGUUGACUUGGCUUUGGAAAGAUAAGAAGGAAUGUCCGAAAAUCGCAAGAGAUCACGAGGAAAUCGAAGCCCUAGUCCUCCGGACACAACUCGGAAAAAGAAGAGACGUAGAGCCUCAGUUGGAACAGCCCGUAAGUAAUUUGCAUUUUGGUGGUCAGCUGACCUGAAUUUUUUUGUCGCCAUUGUGCUUGCUCCGAGUUUCGAUUCUCUGAAACCGAUACUAUAGCCUCAUAGUGAUUUCAGUGACAGUAUGCUACGUCUGAUCAAUACAGUAGGAUUGUGUCAGGCCCUGAAUUACUAUAAUUACUAGAACUAGAAAAACAUUUAGGAAGGCCAAAAAACGUUCAUCAGAGAGAUUCAGAUGGAUGAUGUUAUCAGGUGGUUUAAUAAAUGUAUGUAUGUGUUUAUAUAUAUAUAUUUAUAUCUCUGUUAUAUGUGUUAAGAAGGAAUGCCCGCAUAUCCACCUCCACCUCAAAGUCCUCCAACUCGGUAUGGAGGUAUCGAUGCCCAAUCUGAUGAUGGGUUUUGUCAAUGGAAGAAGCGCUACCUCCGCUACCAUCGGCAGGGGGAAGCAGGGAAGCAAGAAGUUAUCUCCAUUCUUCAGGAAAACCACAUGACAUCAGA
Molecule: long non-coding RNA, 815 nt
Organism: Clupea harengus (Atlantic herring)
Lineage: Eukaryota; Metazoa; Chordata; Actinopteri; Clupeiformes; Clupeidae
Source: Ensembl